Molecule: ribosomal RNA, 425 nt
Filed under: uncultured bacterium
Lineage: Bacteria
Description: bacterial SSU rRNA
Rfam family: Bacterial small subunit ribosomal RNA
Source: RNAcentral
CCUACGGGUGGCUGCAGUGGGGAAUAUUGGACAAUGGGCGCAAGCCUGAUCCAGCCAUGCCGCGUGGGUGAAGAAGGUCUUCGGAUCGUAAAGCCCUUUCGACCGGGACGAUGAUGACGGGGCCUGUAAAACAAUCCCCUUCUAACUUCCUGCCAGCAGCCGCGGUAAUACGAAGGGGGCUAGCGUUGCUCGGAAUUACUGGGCGUAAAGGGUGCGUAGGCGUCUUAGUCAGUCAGGCGUGAAAUUCCUGGGCUUAACCUGGAGGCUGCGUUUGAGACCUUUGAGCUAGAGGGUAGGAGAGGGUCUUGGACUUCCCAGUGUAGAGGUGAAAUUCGUAUAUAUUGGGAAGAACACAGGUGGCGAAAGCGGCGACCUGACCUAUUACUGAAGCUGAGGCGCGACAACGUGGGGAGCAAACAGGAUUA